This 430-nucleotide ribosomal RNA is filed under the name uncultured bacterium. Its description in RNAcentral is "bacterial SSU rRNA". It matches the Rfam family "Bacterial small subunit ribosomal RNA", at positions 958 to 1392 of the family's 1533-position model. The record is from RNAcentral.
AACGCGAAGAACCUUACCUACCCUUGACAUGGCUGGAAUCCUUGAGAGAUCAGGGAGUGCUCGAAAGAGAACCAGUACACAGGUGCUGCAUGGCUGUCGUCAGCUCGUGUCGUGAGAUGUUGGGUUAAGUCCCGCAACGAGCGCAACCCUUGUCAUUAGUUGCUACGAAAGGGCACUCUAAUGAGACUGCCGGUGACAAACCGGAGGAAGGUGGGGAUGACGUCAAGUCCUCAUGGCUCUUAUGGGUAGGGCUUCACACGUCAUACAAUGGUACAUACAGAGCGCCGCCAACCCGCGAGGGGGAGCUAAUCGCAGAAAGUGUAUCGUAGUCCGGAUUGUAGUCUGCAACUCGACUGCAUGAAGUUGGAAUCGCUAGUAAUCGCGGAUCAGCAUGUCGCGGUGAAUACGUUCCCGGGUCUUGUACACACCG